RNA transcript from Equus caballus (horse), 883 nucleotides. RefSeq lists it as uncharacterized. The record is from RefSeq and is a predicted model, not a curated record. NCBI's taxonomy places the organism in Eukaryota, Metazoa, Chordata, Mammalia, Perissodactyla, Equidae.
CCCCCCCCCGCCUCUAGCCAGUCACUGGUCACACCUGUCAACAUAAUGUUGAGUGAAUCCCAUCCGUGUUUGAGUAAAGCGGGAUGAACCCUGGUUCACUUGAAGGGGCAAUGAGGCCUCUAAAGCAGUGGUCUUAUCUUGUGGUUUGACUCAUGGAGCGCCUGUCUCACAGUGUCUUUCACUCUUUUGGCCUAGCUCACACAAGGUGCGUGAGUGGGUCCUCUGGCCUCACCGACCAUUUUCAGAAAUUUCUCAGGAUAAGGGAAAGAACCAGUUCGCCUGAGCCGCUUGACUUAUAUGAGUUGGCAAGUAAACUGUUUUUCCUGCAGUUGUGCUGGGCUGUCCACCCAAAGUCAAGUCUCCUUGCAGAUUUCUACCAUCACCAUCCCCUUCAGGACCUGUGGUGGCAAAGUCCAGUCCAGGUCAUCCUGUGGGCCUGUACGGAGAAGAGAGUGGAACUGGAACCAACAGUCAAGAGCAGGCAGACAAAUGUUGCUGCGACCAGACGUUGUGUUUCGUGGACAAUAGAUUUCUGGUAUCUGAGUGAGAAAGACCCUUGGCCCUUUCUAGCUCUCAUCUUUGAGCUUGAGUUUCCACAGAUGGAGAUGGGGAGCACACCUUGCUAUCAGGACCAGCAAAUUUCCUCAGCGAUUCCUUCAAUCUCUCUAGAAACCAACUUCUCUACUUCUCCUGUGAUGCCAGGGGAAAGCCGGGCAAUUCGGACUUUGCCUUCUCUGAGCUGCAGUCUUUCCGGCCAACAUGGACACCUUUCGUCAAAGCUGAUGUGGCUCAGCACCAAGUUCAGGCUGGAGGCUUCUUGUUCACUGGCAGUGCCACCAAGAUCUCCUCUGUUCCCUGUCUGUAUAAAGUCACUUGUUUUCUG